RNAcentral lists this ribosomal RNA (377 nucleotides) under uncultured cyanobacterium. RNAcentral's name for it is "bacterial SSU rRNA". It matches the Rfam family "Bacterial small subunit ribosomal RNA", at positions 376 to 770 of the family's 1533-position model. Lineage: Bacteria; Bacillati; Cyanobacteriota. The record is from RNAcentral.
CGCAAGCCUGACGGAGCAAGACCGCGUGCGGGAUGACGGCCUAAUGGUUGUAAACCGCUUUUCUCUGGGAAGAUGAUGACGGUACCAGAGGAAUCAGCCUCGGCUAACUCCGUGCCAGCAACCGCGGUAAUACGGAGGAGGCAAGCGUUAUCCGGAAUUAUUGGGCGUAAAGCGUCCGUAGGUGGUUAUUCAAGUCUGCUGUCAAAGCGUGGGGCUUAACUCCAUAGAGGCAGUGGAAACUGGAUGACUUGAGUGCGGUAGGGGUCGAGGGAAUUCCCAGUGUAGCGGUGAAAUGCGUAGAUAUUGGGAAGAACACCAGUGGCGAAAGCGCUCGACUGGGCCUGCACUGACACUGAGGGACGAAAGCUAGGGGAGCG